CUGUCCCCUACGGCUCCCUGUGUCCCCUGCGGCUCCCGAUGUCCCCAACAGCUCCUGGUGGCCCUGACAAGCUCCUCGCGUCCCCAACGGCUCCACCAGUUCUCCGCAAGCUGCUGGUGUCCCCAGUAGCUCCCAAUGUCACCACCCCUAGAUCCAGGGAUGUCCCCGGAGCUCUCAGUGUCCCCAACAGUCCCCGGUGUCUGUAACAGCUUCCGGCAUCCUCUCCCAAAACCAAGGGAUGUCCCCGGAGCUCUAACGGUCCCCAAGUGCUCCUGGUGUCCCCACUAGCUCCAGGGAUGUCCCCGGAGCUCCAACUGUCCCCAAAAGCUGCCGGUGUCACCACCGGGUCCAGAAAAGUCCCGGGGGCUCCACAGGUCCCUGGGCUCUUUGCUUCUCCACUAGAUCCAGGGAUGUUCUCGGCCCUGGAUGUCCCCAAAAGUUCUAAGUGUCACCUCUAGAUCUAGAAAUGACUUUAGAUGUCUUUCCUAGGUUUUGAGAUGUUCUCCUAACUUUAGAUGUUCCCAACAGCUCUUGGUUUGUCCCUCGAGCCCAGAACAUCUCUUAAUGGUAAGAAUUGUCCCCAUUGCAGCUUUGGGAACGUCCCUGGAUUCAGGGGGGUCUUUCCCAGGCUCCGGGGGUGUCCCCAACAGCUCUGGAUAUCACCCCCAGUUCCGGGUGUCCCCAACGGCUCCGGGUCUGUCCCUGGGCUCAGGGCGUCCCCAAUGGCUCUGGGUCUGUCCCCUGGCUCCGGGAACGUCCCCGGGCUCAGGGUGUCCCCAACAGCUCUGGGUCUGUCCCCUGGCUCCGGGGACGUCCCCGGGCUCCGGGUGUCCAUGUCCUGCUCUGGGAACGUCCCCACCAGCUCCGAAAACGGUCCUUCGCCGGGGGUGUCCCCAAUAGAUCCGAAGAUGUUCCCUAUCUCCGGGUGUCCUCUACGGCUCCGGGUGUCCCCACCAGCUCCGGGGACAUCCCUGGGCUUCCCCCCCCCCCCGGCGUCCCCCGCGGCGGCCGUCCCCGCGCCGUCCCCUCACCACAUCGCGCUCCGGCGAGCCGGGCCGGGAGCCGGGCAGCCCGUUCUUGGUGGGCGUCUUGGCCUCUUUCUUGGGGAACUGGAUCUUCUUGAGGUCCAGGCGGUCGUGGGUGACCCAUUCGUCCAGGCGCUUGUUAACUGUCGAUGUAGUGGACGUAGAAGAGCUUGCGCCCGCUGAUGUCCUUCACGCUCAGGAUCUCGGCCAGCGCUGGGGGGGGGCACCGAGACGUCAGGGAGGCGCCUGUCCCCCGCCGGGGUCCCCGCCGGGGGUGGCCCCCCCCCCCAAAACGGGGCUGUCACCUCCCGGGGACCCUCAGCGAGGGGCGUUUUCGCCCCCCAAAACGGGGUUGUCACCUCCUGGAGAUCUUCGACGGGGGCGUUGGCUCCCCAAAACGGGGUUGUCGCCUCCUGGGGACCCCCCCCAAUGGGGGACCCCCAAAUCGUCUCACCCCAAAAUGCCCCCCCCGGGGACCCCUAAACAU
This 1512-nucleotide long non-coding RNA is filed under the name Apteryx rowi (Okarito brown kiwi). RNAcentral's name for it is "lncRNA (ENSARWG00000013677.1)". Lineage: Eukaryota; Metazoa; Chordata; Aves; Apterygiformes; Apterygidae. The record is from RNAcentral.